UUGAAAAGCACUUUGAAAAGAGGGUGAAAAGAACCUGAAACCGUCACGGGGGAAGCGGAUUGCGUUGGAUUGGUGGGGUUUUGUGUGUUCAGCCCUUUUUUUAUUGGGUGCAUUGACAUGAGAUCUUAUUCGUCGUGGGUUUUUGAGGGUGGACUUUGCACCCUUGAAGACUGAGGGCUCCCUUCGGGUUGAGGACGACGAAGCGACGACGCGAUACGACCCGUCUUGAAACACGGACCAAGGAGUCUAGCGCGAUUGCGAGUCUAAGGGUGGAAAAACCUGGCGGCGCAGUGAAAGCGAGAUUGAAAACGAGCAGUUUGAGGCGGCAUAAAAUCGUUGAUUUUAAGUCCGACCUAGAGCAAUUGCGCUGGGACCCGAAAGAUGGUGAACUAUGCCGGAGUAGGGCGAAGCCAGAGGAAACUCUGGUGGAGGCUCGUAGCGGUGCUGACGUGCAAAUCGCUCGUCCAACUUGGGUAUAGGGGCGAAAGACUAAUCGAACCAUCUAGUAGCUGGUUCCCUCCGAAGUUUCUCUCAGGAUAGCGGGCCGACUUUGUGUUGUUCUGUGC
This 566-nucleotide ribosomal RNA is filed under the name Calliblepharis celatospora. RNAcentral's name for it is "partial large subunit ribosomal RNA". It matches the Rfam family "Eukaryotic large subunit ribosomal RNA", at positions 364 to 1006 of the family's 3401-position model. The record is from RNAcentral. Lineage: Eukaryota; Rhodophyta; Florideophyceae; Gigartinales; Cystocloniaceae.